AUUGAACGCUGGCGGCAGGCCUAACACAUGCAAGUCGAACGAGUGGCGGACGGGUGAGUAAUGUCUGGGAAACUGCCCGAUGGAGGGGGAUAACUCUGGAAACGGUGGCUAAUACCGCAUACCAUCGGAUGUGCCCAGAGUGGGUUAGCUUGGAGGGUGGGUAACGGCUCACCUAGGCGACGAUCCCUUGCUGGUCUGAGAGGAUGACCAGCCACACUGGAACUGAGACACGGUCCAGAAUCCUACGGGAGGCAGCAGUGGGGAAUAUUGCACAAGGGGCGCAAGCCUGAUGCAGCCAUGCCGCGUGUAUGAAGAAGGCCUUCGGGUUGUAAAGUACUUUCAGCGAGGAGGCGUUACCCGCAGAAGAAGCACCGGCUAACUCCGUGCCAGCAGCCGCGGUAAUUC
This 405-nucleotide ribosomal RNA is filed under the name uncultured bacterium. RNAcentral describes it as "partial 16S ribosomal RNA". It matches the Rfam family "Bacterial small subunit ribosomal RNA", at positions 30 to 526 of the family's 1533-position model. The record is from RNAcentral.